RNAcentral lists this long non-coding RNA (1413 nucleotides) under Selaginella moellendorffii. RNAcentral describes it as "long non-coding RNA (SMOE_LNC001388)". The record is from RNAcentral. Lineage: Eukaryota; Viridiplantae; Streptophyta; Lycopodiopsida; Selaginellales; Selaginellaceae.
AGCUCUCUUGUUUAGUUUCUGCUGCUGGAGGGGUCGUAAGAUCAUCGAUGUCUAUCGCCUUCGUGGCUACUCCAGGUUCUUCUCCUUCGCUGAUUACUGCUGGUUUUUCGGUUUUGCUAGCGGCUUUUGGAUCCUCUUGUAGCAGCGGACUCUCUUCCUCGCUGGUGGGAGUCGUUUCCUCGACUUGCUCUUUGUCUUCCUUCUGAGCGUCUGCUAGCUCGUCUUCGACAGUGAUGGGAGCUGCGUCAUCUGGAGCAGUGAUAGCUUUGUCUUUGGCUGGUGUGAAAUCUUCUGGUACUCUUUCAGCUUCUUUCUCUUUCUCUUCCUCUUGAGUUCCUUCGUCUUUGGCAGUGAUGGGAGCUGCUUCGUCUGGAACAAUGAGAUCUUUGUCUUCGCCUGGUGUGGAAACUUCUGGUACUGCUUUCUCUUUGUCUUCCUCCUGAGUUUCUGCGAGCUGAGUUCCAUCGUCUUCGGCAGUAAUGAGAGCUGCUUCGUCUAGAGCAAUGUCGCCUUUGUCUUCGGCUGGUGUUGUUGCUUCUUCCUUGUCGUUCUCGUGGACGAUGCUUGUUGUUUCGAGCUCCUUAGCCUUCUGAUCCUCGCGAUUCUCUGCUGGAUGAGUUCCUUCACCAGCAGCUACCGCCGCUUCUUUCUCUUCGUCCGCAGAUACUAUUGUUUCUUCAACUGUUGCUUCUUCAUCUUUGCCCGCUUCUUGGUCCGGAAAGGUGACAUCUGCGUCGUGAAAUUCUUCCUUGUCCGGACUUAUACCUUCUGCUACUUGAGUUUCGUCGUGCACCUCCUCCUUGUCCGGAAUUGUAUCUCCUGCUACUUGAGUUUCGUUGUGCACCUCUUCCAUGUCCGGAAUAAGAGUUUCCUUGUGCACCUCGUCCUUGUCCAGAAUUAUAUCUUCGGCUACUUGAGUUUCGUCGUGCACCUCUUCCUUGUCCGGAAUUAUAUCUUCGGCUACUUGAGCUUCAUCGUGGAUCUCUUCUCUGUCUGGAAUUAUGUCUUCUGCUGUCUGAGUGCUCGUGGAAAGAGCAUCCGUUUGGAGAACUGUUGUUUCUUUCUCUUUCUCUCCGCUUGGAUCUUGAUCUUCUGCUACUUGAAAUCUUUCCUCGCGUUUGUCAGUUGCUUCCAUCUCCGAGUUUUCUGCGAUCUUAGCCUGAGUUUCUUCACUGCUCACUGUUUCUUGCACCUUUUCUUCGUCGUCGCCAGCAGCUGGAACAUUCCUGUCCACGGCUUCGUCUUUCAAAGGUUCGUGUUCAAUCAGAUUUGUUGACUCCUCGGUGUCUCUAAUAUCUUGCUCGCCUUCUUCAGUCCGACCUUCCACUGGAUUUUGGAUUGCUUCGUCACCACCUUCGACUGCCUUGUCCUCCCUGGCUUCGAUAGCUCCCUCGACAUCUUGGACUGUCGACG